UAGAGUUUGAUCCUGGCUCAGGAUGAACGCUAGCUACAGGCUUAACACAUGCAAGUCGAGGGGCAGCAGGACGGUAGCUUGCUACUGUCGCUGGCGACCGGCGCACGGGUGAGUAACGCGUAUCCAACCUUCCCCUGAGUAGGGAAUAGCCCGGCGAAAGUCGGAUUAAUGCCCUAUGUUGUCCGACGAUAGCAUUUGAAUUGGAUGAAAGAUUUAUCGCUCAGGGAUGGGGAUGCGUCUGAUUAGGUUGCAGGCGGGGUAACGGCCCACCUGGCCGACGAUCAGUAGGGGUUCUGAGAGGAAGGUCCCCCACAUUGGAACUGAGACACGGUCCAAACUCCUACGGGAGGCAGCAGUGAGGAAUAUUGGUCAAUGGGCGAGAGCCUGAACCAGCCAAGUAGCGUGCAGGAUGACGGCCCUAUGGGUUGUAAACUGCUUUUGGAGGGGAAUAAAGUGGCGUACGUGUACGCCUUUGUAUGUACCCUCAGAAUAAGGACCGGCUAAUUCCGUGCCAGCAGCCGCGGUAAUACGGAAGGUCCGGGCGUUAUCCGGAUUUAUUGGGUUUAAAGGGAGCGCAGGCCGCCGAUUAAGCGUGACGUGAAAUGUCCCGGCUCAACCGGGGAGUUGCGUCGCGAACUGGUUGGCUUGAGUGCGGACGAGGUAUGCGGAAUUCGUGGUGUAGCGGUGAAAUGCUUAGAUAUCACGAAGAACCCCGAUUGCGAAGGCAGCGUACCAGGCCGUAACUGACGCUAAUGCUCGAAGGUGCGGGUAUCGAACAGGAUUAGAUACCCUGGUAGUCCACACUGUAAACGAUGAUAACUCGCUGUCGGCAAUACACAGUCGGUGGCCAAGCGAAAGCGAUAAGUUAUCCCCCUGGGGAGUACGACCGCAAGGUGAAACUCAAAGGAAUUGACCGGGGCCCCCCCAACCGGAGAAAC
RNAcentral lists this ribosomal RNA (938 nucleotides) under uncultured bacterium. RNAcentral describes it as "bacterial SSU rRNA". It matches the Rfam family "Bacterial small subunit ribosomal RNA", at positions 1 to 938 of the family's 1533-position model. The record is from RNAcentral.